GACGAACGCUGGCGGCGUGCUUAACACAUGCAAGUCGAACGGUAAGGCCCUUCGGGGUACACGAGUGGCGAAAGGGACAGUAAUGUGUAGGUACCUACCUCCGGGUUCGGGAUAGCUGCGGGAAACUGCAGGUAAUACUGAAUAACGUCUCCGGACCAAAGGUGUGAUUCCACCUGGAGAGGGGCCUGCAUCCUAUUAGCUUGUUGGCGGGGUAACGGCCCACCAAGGCGACGAUGGGUAGCGGGUGUGAGAGCACGACCCGCGUCAUUAGGACGGAGACACUGCCCAGACACCUACGGGUGGCUGCAGUCGUGAAUCUUCGGCAAUGGGCGCAAGCCUGACCGAGCGACGCCGCGUGCGGGAUGAAGGCCUUCGGGUUGUAAACCGCUGUCGUAGAGGAGGAAAUGCAGGGGGGUUCUCCCCUCUGUUUGACCUAUUCUAGGAGGAAGUACGGGCUAAGUUCGUGCCAGCAGCCGCAGUAA
This 482-nucleotide ribosomal RNA is filed under the name uncultured bacterium. RNAcentral's name for it is "partial 16S ribosomal RNA". It matches the Rfam family "Bacterial small subunit ribosomal RNA", at positions 28 to 523 of the family's 1533-position model. The record is from RNAcentral.